This 112-nucleotide ribosomal RNA is filed under the name Caerostris darwini. Lineage: Eukaryota; Metazoa; Arthropoda; Arachnida; Araneae; Araneidae. The record is from RNAcentral.
AACGGCCAUACCAUGCUGAAUAUACCGGUUCUCGUUCGAUCACCGAAGUCAAGCAUCAUUGGGCGCGGUCAGUACUUGGGUGGGUGACCACAUGGGAACACCGCGGGCCGUU